Coffea arabica (coffee) is the source of this 3216-nucleotide non-coding RNA. The record is from RefSeq and is a predicted model, not a curated record. NCBI's taxonomy places the organism in Eukaryota, Viridiplantae, Streptophyta, Magnoliopsida, Gentianales, Rubiaceae.
GAUUGGGAUGGCUCUCUGGACCCUGCUAGAGCUAGCCUGCAAAACAAACGAGACCCGUGCACCGCUCAUAGCGUUACAGAAUUCAGAGAUUUCAGAACAUGGCACCAAUGCCGACUCAAAUUAUUCCUUUCUCCCCUCUAUGUCGAUCAAACCACGAAUUAAAAUUCAUUCCAGCAAUGAAAGCAUGGCCACUUCUGAGUUCUGAUUCAUGAUAUACUGAUACCCCUGCGACUCCCAUAUUGCGUUUCAUAGAAUUUCAGGUUGAAAAAGAUGUUGGAGGUCGAAACAAGUGAAUUCAAACAAUUCUGGAUUUCCAGUUUCAUCAUGGAAAUCUUUUUUUGCUUUGGCAGUUGUGCCUAAAAAUGAUUCCUUUCUGGCUAGCUUACCAAGCAUGAAAAUAAUUUUCACAGCCCCCCUUCGUUCCAUCUCCACGUGUCCCCGCUUCCUUCUUGCUGCUGCUGUGUCCAUUACUAGUACACCUCUCCCUCAUUUUCCGUUUCGCCAAGACAUCUGUCUCUGUCUUUGCUCACCACCCUCUCUCUUUCUCUUUCACACACAGACACACACACAGAGGCACUGCUAUUCGAGCAAGAGCAGAAAUUGUGCAGGAUAGCAAAAUUUAACGAUUGCAGCCUUAUAUCUUUGUUUCAUUCAAAGGGACCCAUUUGGUUAUUUAGAAAGGAGAGUUUAAUUUAUUUUUUGUUAGCUUCUAUGGGUUCCGAAUAAAUAGGCCUUCUUAUCUGUUGUUGGUUGCUGUUUAUAAGUUUUCUUGGUUUUAUUUCCUUCGGGUUUUUAGAGGGGUUUGACUCUUGAGGCUGAGCUGAUAGGUGAGGAGGUCUGAAUCAUGAAGGGCCAUGCAUUAGAAGAACAAACAGUUUUUGAGGAAGAACAGCCGGUUUUUGAGAUAGGGGUUGUGGUACCGAAGAGGGACGAGAAGCAAGAAAUUGAUAAUGAGAAUUGUGUUGACGUUCUUGCUGCUGAAUUCAGGAAGAUGGGCUUAAUUGUCGAGAGAGUUGUUGGCCUACAAAACGAAAUUCUUAAGUUGGCAGCACCUUUAGCAAUUCUCGGGAAGGCCGCAGCUGAGUUGCAAUUGAAGAAACGAACUUACAUUGGAGUAGAUUUGCAGUUUGAAUGGGAUGAGAUUGAUGCUUUCAAAAGGCAACCAGAUGGUUCCUUAUUCAGUUGGCAUGAGCGUCUCCUCUGCUAUCAUCACAUGUUGUAUGGGACUGUGAAUGUGGACAACUCCAUCAUGUUGAAGUUUGAUAACAAGGAAGUAUACUGGGAGAUGGGAGAAUCUGUACUGAGGAAGCUUGAAUUGGAAGGCAUUGUCAAAGAAGUCUUCCCGCUGCAUGAUGAUGUGAUGCGGAAGCAGCUUCUGAAAAUUUGGGCUCUGAACUGGUGGGACUUCACCAAGCAACCAAUUGAUGAGAUAUGUUCAUACUAUGGGAUGAAGAUUGCCACCUAUUUUGCUUUCCUUGGAAUGUACACGCGCUGGCUUUUGUUUCCUGCUGCAUUUGGACUUAUUCUGCACUUGAUUGAUUUUGGAUCGUUGCAGUUAUUUGUUCUCCCAGUCUUCUUUGUAAGCCUUGUAAUGUGGGCUGUACUAUUUUUCCAAUUUUGGAAACGUAAAAACUCGGCCCUCUUGUCCAGGUGGCAGGUAAAUCAGGCACCUGGAGCAGGUCGUGAACAUAAAGCUUUUGAUUUGGAGUGGAGUUUGUUCCAAUACCCUUCAGAGCUCAUGAAAAAACAGGGCUCAGACAAAAUUAUAGAAAAAGAAGUAUAUCAAAGAGAGGAAUGGUUACGAAGGUUCAUGAGAUAUCGAAAUGAUUUUGUUGUUAUAUUGAGCAUCAUAUGUCUUCAACUUCCUUUUGAGUUGGCUUAUGCUCACCUUUAUGAGGUUGUUACAUCCGACCUGCUAAAGUUUGGUCUAACGGUGGUGUACCUCUUGGCCAUUCAGUAUUUCACCCGAAUUGGUGGCAAGAUGGCAGUGGAUCUUGUUAAUCGUGAAAUCAGUAAUAAUAUAGAAUAUAGAGCUGACAGCUUGGUCUACAAGGUAUUUGGCCUUUACUUUAUGCAAUCAUAUGUGGGACUUUUCUACCAUACUCUACUGCAUCGCAAUAUAAUGACGCUUCGGCAAGUUUUGAUUCAACGUCUUAUCUUCUCUGAGGUUCUGGAGAAUCUGUUAGAAAAUUCAAUACCCUAUUUGAAAUAUAGCUUUAAAAAGUAUCGAGCUGUUCGAACUAAGAGAAAAGGCGAAAGAGGAUCAUUUGCAGGAAAGUUUCCCAGAGUGGAGAAGGAGUAUCUUAAACCUGCUUAUUCUGCAAGUAUCAGUGAGGAACUUGAAGAUGGAUUAUUUGAUGAUUUUCUGGAAUUGGCGUUGCAGUUUGGAAUGAUUAUGAUGUUUGCCUGUGCAUUCCCCCUUGCAUUCACUUUUGCUACAUUGAACAAUAUAACAGAAAUAAGAACAGAUGCACUUAAGUUGCUGGUAAUGUUGAGAAGACCCAUUCCUCGUUGUGAUGCAACUAUUGGAGCUUGGCUCAAUAUAUUUCAGUUUCUAAUAGUGAUGUCCAUAUGUACCAACUGUGUACUACUAGUAUGCCUAUAUGAUCGGGAAGGGAAAUGGAAUAUAUCCCCUGGACUUGCUGCUAUUCUUCUCAUGGAACAUGCUCUUUUGCUGAUUAAAUUCUUAUUCUCCCAUAUUGUUCCUGAGGAGCCUGCUUGGGUCAGAGCCAAUCGCAUGAAGAAUGCCACUCACGCACAAGACAUGUGCUCUAGGGAGCUUUUGAGGACUAUAUCUGGUGGUCAGAAAACGUUUAAAGAACUGGUUAAGAAUGAGUAACAAAGAAACUCGGCAAUGUUGCGGUGUGUUUUCUCUUCCCAACUUGAUUACAGAGGGUACCCGCUUAAGGCGAAACAAAAGUACUGCUAUGCUUGUUAAUGUUAAUACUUGUAGUGUUAAUGUUUGUGGUAUCUAGAAAGCCUUGAAUGACUGCAAUCACUGCAUUCUUUGGCGAUUGAGAAUUUGACAGUAUUUGUGCCUUCCUUGUUUAAAGAUCAUUGCAGUACAAGGAGAAAUCAUAGAACUGUCUUUUCACCUAUUAUUUUUUCCAAGUUCAGAUUUGGCCAAUUCGGGAAUGUAUGGCGUUUGUUGGCAGGUAAUAUGGCUUGGAAGAAACAAGUUGCCUCUAAUUACUCUCAGCUGGAAACUUGAUCAAA